CAUUUCUGCCGCCGCCUCCCACAUGGAUCUGGAUCAAGCUCCCUCCCACAUCGUUCUCUCCUUCCCUUCCGUCGAUCGUUGCAGCCCGAUGCCUACCAGAGGCCGGAGUUGUGGCGUCCUCCUCGCGCAGAAUCAGUCCCCUCCUACCUCACCGCUACCUCGCCCCAUCUCCUGGUGAGGAGCCGAGGAGCAUGGGCCGCCUGCGCCGCCGUCACCUCACCCCGGUGCUAGGCGAGGAGCGUCGUCUACCUGCUCCGCCCCUACGCCUGGUGGUGCUCGACGAGGGGCUCCAGCCUCCGUGCCCCUCCUCAUCUAGUGCCGGCCUCCACGACCCCCAGCCUCCUCACUGCUAGAUCCAGUCCCCGUUCAUCUUGCGGUUGCAAAUCCCGGUCAGAUCGAGUGCUUAAUUAGUUCCCUUCACAGCAGAUUCCGUGGAUGCCUUCACUUAGUUAGCUCACUGUGGCAGAGAUAGCUGGAGCCUGGACCUUGGAGACAUCUGCGCUAUUGGUCACUGUGUAAGUAUGUUUUUGGUUGCGCUCAUGAUUGCAGGGUGUACAGAUUUUAUUGUCUGUUUAUGCUCGAUCUGUAGAGUAGCUUAGUUACUUAGUCGGGAGCAGUGACUCCGUGCCUUUGUAGUGACAACCUCUGAUAACACUGCUCAUCUUCAUGGGACUUUUUUAGAGCUAUUCCCUUAAUUUGUUAUUAUUGUUGGAAUCACAAAGCAAGCAAGCAUACAAGAGAGAAACACAUAUUCUCUAUAGGUUUUAUAAAAUUUACUAAACAAGAAUCUGUUAUAUAUGUUAAUUUGCAUGGCAUUUACUUUUCUGCUCCCUUUAGAUUAGAUUUGUUGGACAAUUGUAUGAUUUUGUAGCCUGAAUCUAUUAGAAGAUGGAAUAAUUAAUUGUUCCAAAAGGAUGGCAAACCUUAAUAAUUUAUAUCUUGUAACAAGUAAAAUGGCAGGGUGUACAUUGAUUCAGUCAUCCUAGCUCAUUAAUUCAGAUAUACUUGAAAGCAGUAGAUAAGCUGAGUUUGAAGUUUUGCACAUAGCUAUUGAAUGAUUAUUAGCCUCUGAUACAGAACUCAAUGGAUAAUGUAGUAUGGUCAGAGUUGAAAAGAAAGACCUUAUAAUUUGAUAACUAGCUACUAAACAGUUUCACCAACUUUUAAUUUGCCAUUGAAGUUCUGAAAUGGACUUAUUGGACUAAACAGUUUCACCAACAGUAUGCAAUAAUUUUUCCUUUACAAAUAUCAAUUUACAUGUAUACACAAGUAAAUCUUUAAUUUUUUCCUUCGAGUUUUUAGUUUACAUGUACCACAUGUAAAUUUUUCUUCACUUUAUAUGUUAUCUGUUAUAUUAAUUGGAUGCAUCAUGAAUGUUAAACCUCCAUAAGGAAAUACACCUGCAUUCAAGUAUUUGUAGAUGACUCUUUAUAGGUAUUUUACACAAACCAUAUUGAUCUGUUUGCAGGAACUGGCAUCAACUUGGCUAACAUAUGAAUAUGGGCACAGGUGGCCAAAGCUGGGAGCUGCACCCCAAUGAACUACAUGUUAGAAUAGUUAUAGAACUUGAUAGUUAAGUAUUAUGUUAAUAGAACUUAAUGUAAGAUGUUCCAUGCAACAGAAUUGAUAGUGAGAAUGUAGUUUGUCUGUCACAUUUGUGAACUUGCUUUAGCAUGCUAUGUAAAGGACCUUGUCACUUGCGCUUUUGACAAUUGUUGUCAUAUUCAACAGAAUAUGUGGAAUACAUUGGAAUUCUAAAGCGGUUAGUGUGUAUUUGUUAAUGACAGAAAUUUACAAAUGGUUCUGGGCCAAUGCUAUCAAAUAAUCAAACAAUGAGUUAUACUGCA
Molecule: long non-coding RNA, 1847 nt
Filed under: Oryza brachyantha (malo sina)
Lineage: Eukaryota; Viridiplantae; Streptophyta; Magnoliopsida; Poales; Poaceae
Description: long non-coding RNA (OBRA_LNC000783)
Source: RNAcentral